This is an RNA transcript of Heterocephalus glaber (naked mole-rat), 3548 nucleotides long. RefSeq lists it as uncharacterized. Lineage: Eukaryota; Metazoa; Chordata; Mammalia; Rodentia; Bathyergidae. The record is from RefSeq and is a predicted model, not a curated record.
GCGCCUCUUCAGGGUUCGCCAGCAGCGUGGCAGGUACUGUAUGAUGGGGCUCCUUUUCUUCCGGUGAUUUCGGUUUGUGUCUAUCCGGCGCCAUCGCGCUUUCCAUGAGGCCGAGCGUGAAAAUCUGGAACAGGGAGAGGCAGAAUCAGAACGCUCUACGGGAGAGUGAUAGAGGAGCUGUUGGCGUGGUUGGCGACAUGUCUGUGAUUCCAGAGGAGCCGGAGGAUGCACCGAUUGUUAAUCCAGCGAGCCUUGCCGCGGUGGGAGAAAUGAGGGAAAUCGGGUAAGGUUGCCUUUGACUUCACGAUGUAGCCCUGGCUUGCCUCGAACUCGUGGCGAUCCUUACAGCCUCAGCCUCCCAAGUGCUGGGAUUAUAGUUGUGCGCCACCACGCCGGGCAAAAAACUAUUUCUAUAUGUACCAUCAAGUAUGAAUUACACUUUUGAAGAUGCUGGGAAAAGAUGUGGAACUUGGAAGAUAAUUCUUUAAAAUAUGCAGGAAAGGGUUCUCUAUGUUGGAGUUUGUGUGUCUAUGUGUUUGAUGUUGAGACAGGGUCUUGCUAUGAGAUCAAGGCUGGCCCUAAUCUCACUGUAACUCAUGCUGGCCUCAAACUCUCGGAGCUCUUCCUGCCUCAGUCUCCUAAAUGCUGGGAUUAUAGGAAUAAAAUGGAAGUUGUUUUUUUUUUUUGGUACCGGGGAUCGAACUUGGGACCUUCCGCUUCCGGUUUCAAGGCAGGCGCCAGAACCACUGAGCUAAAUCCCCGGCCCAAGAAGUUGUUUUUUUCAAAGAACAUUUGUCAGAUUUAUUUGAUCAAGAAUUUGAAGAUUAUUAAGUUACCACCUAAAAUGUUUGAAUCAGAAGACAGUACUGAUGAAGAACUGUUAAUUAAUGAAUCAGGAAGUCAUAGUGAACCUGAAGAUGAUUUUUCAGAAUUAUCAGAGGAGUUUCAUUCAGAGACUGAAGCUUCACACCAUUCAGAGAAUUUGUUGAGGUUAAUUUGGAAAAUCCAAUCCCUACUCUGCCUAAGUUUCUGUGCACCAGUACACCUAGUAUAAAUUUGUCAUUUAGACAUGAUACGGAGCCAGAUAGUUUAAAUUACUUCGAAUAUUUCUAGAAUUCUAAAAUAAUGUAGUUGACUACAAUAGAAACCAACAUGCAGAUCAAAGCCUUCUGGGAUUUUAGAGAAAUUUUUACACUUGGACUCAAAACGAACAGGUAAUACAGAUUUUUUUUUUUUUUUUUGCUCUCCAUAGUCUGUAAGGAAUUAUAUGUAAGCCAAUACGUGAGUGGUAUUGGUCUAAGAAAGAUUGCAUUGAAACACCUUUUUUUCAGUGAAGUGAUGUCGUAAAUGUUUUACUUUAUUGAAACAUAUUAUAUUCAUUUUGUAGAUAACUCAGUGCUACUCGAAUCUUUAAGUUAUGGCCAACUGUUGAACAUCUCAAUAAAAAGUUUUCUACUGCACUUACACUUGAGAGAGAUUAUCACAACUGGUGAAAGUUUAAUGCUACAUAAGGGUCAAUUUGAAUGGAUUCAGUUUAUCCCUCUAAAAAGAGCUACAUUUGGUACCAAAUCUUACAUGUUCUGUGAAUCCAAAUCUGGAUAUGUGGUCUUAAUUUACACUGGAAAGUGCACAGUACUUGAUAACAUCUAUAAAGAUUGUUACAUGGGUACACAAAUUGUUUUGACUCUUGAUGAAACCACUUUUCAACAUGGGACAUUGUCUUAUUACAGACAAUUUUUAUACUUCUCCAGGACUCUGAUACUAUUUUACAAUACAAGAUGGACACGUUUGGGACACUGAGUCUGAAUAGGAAAGAAGUGCCGAGAGAUUGUUCCAAUUUUAGUAUAUGUGCUGCUGAAACAAGCACUAGUGCCAAAAGACCUGCAAAAGAAAAAACUGAAAAAGGGAGAAAUGUUAGCCCAUCAGAGAGGAAAACUUAUGCAAUGAAAAGACAUUUCCUUGUCAGCUAUUCAUAAUACAGAAAUGAUAGAUCUUUAAAGAAACAAAACUUUAAGGAUUCUAAUAAUGGUCAAUGGUUAUAAUUUGAUUACAACCUUUUUUUUUUUUUGUCUUUUCGGUACUGGAGAUCGAACUCUGGUCCUUGCUCUUGCGGGACAGGUGGCAGAAUCACUGAACUAAAUCCCCGGCAGUGAUUAUAAUAAUUCUAUGAAUGGUAUUGACAGAGGUGACCAACAUUUAACAAGUUAUCCUGUCAUUUACAAUUGAGAUUAGGUCUGGUAGACCAAAUAAUUGAAAAAUACAGAAGCAUUGGGAGGCUAUUGCUGCAUUAGAAGAAAGUGCUAAUUACAAAGAAACUGAAAAUGAACAUUAUGCUUCAAGUAAAAGUUGGUUUCAUCCUUUCAAAAGGCACCAUGAAUUGGUUGAUGUGAAGCUGUUUGAAACAGCAAGCUUAGAUGAAGAUGAUACUGUGAAAUUGGCAUCCAUAUUGUAAGAUAACAGUGUCCUUGGAUUGCACAGCAGGGUAAGACCCAACUGCAAAAAACAAGCAGGGUUCAGAUCAGUGGUACCAAAAUAGAGUUGACUUGGGGUUUUAGGACUGCUGCUACAUAAGAGGCAAUUGUACAGCCAGAGCUUAGUGAAGGCAAACCUACUGGCAUGAGAAGGCUUUCCAACAUAAAAGAUGACUGCCUCAGAGGAAGAGAUGCUAGCAAAAGCCUUCACAUUAAAAGAACUCAGUUAAUUUCAAGACAGUAAAAGUGCAAAGGAUAAAAUUUUGGUAGCUGAUCCAAAUUUAGGAGUAGGACAAUCGCCACAGUAUAGAAAUGACACUCCCUAUUUUAAGUAAUACAACAGGAAGGUAGGUCCAGUUCAAGCCACUUGAAUGAUGAACGAGUAUGGAUAAAAUUUUCAGUGUUUCUAAUAUUUUAAAUUACAGCAUACUAAAAAUACUAGCCUUGUGUUAUUACAAAGCUAGAUUUCUUUUUAACAACAGCAAGAGUUACAUUUUUGACUGGAAUCUCCCCCCCAGCCCCAAUUGGGACUCAAAUUGGGAACUCUACCACUAAGUUACAUCCCCAACCCUUUAUUUUUUAUGUUUAGAGAAGGUCUCGCUAAUUUGCCUAGGCUGUCCCUGAACUUGUGAUCCUCCUUAGUAACGAAUUAAAAGGUAUGCAGCACCACUGUGGCUAGUUUUGACAAACUUUAAGGUCCAUGAAUCCCACAUUUCCUCAUAGGUUAAGAUUGUAAUGUAGCUUCAGCUUCCAUGGUCAAAGCCAGUACAAGCUAGAGAACCUUAUUAUUCAAACAGGUCAGAUCGACAAAUGUGUUUGGUAAUCGUUACUUUUCAUAUUCUUGUAUGCUGCUAUAUCAAAGCUUUGAAAUAAAAAUUUAAUACUGAAUUUCUCAUAUUUGGACUUAAAUUGUAGGCCAAAAAUUAUUGAGAUUGACAGAUUUUUCCUGUAAAGGGCCCUUUGAAGGCCAUAUGAUCUCUGGUGCAGCUAAUCAGUUUGGCUUUCAUAGCCAAAGCAGACAGUAAAUAACCACUGAAUGUGAAUGUGUUCCAAUAAAAUUUUAUUUAGGGACACAAA